Molecule: transfer RNA, 75 nt
Filed under: Populus szechuanica
Lineage: Eukaryota; Viridiplantae; Streptophyta; Magnoliopsida; Malpighiales; Salicaceae
Description: tRNA-Leu
Source: RNAcentral
CGAAAUUGGUAGACGCUACGGACUUCCGUCGACUUUAUAAAUCGUGAGGGUUCAAGUCCCUCUAUCCCCAAAAAA